Molecule: long non-coding RNA, 797 nt
Organism: Cloeon dipterum
Lineage: Eukaryota; Metazoa; Arthropoda; Insecta; Ephemeroptera; Baetidae
Exons: 2
Source: RefSeq, a predicted model, not a curated record
GGCCAAGGGGACUGGGAUGAUCGACUUCGCAUCCGUCGACAAGCAUUUUUAUAGCCAUUCAGCCGUGGAUACGGCCGAAACUAAGCGUAAACGUGAAGAGGGGCGUGUGCAUCAGUGAGCCUGCAGAUGUUUGUUUACAUCGUUCAUACGCCCCGAUUUCGGCUCGGCAAGACCGUUAACGAGUCGAUUUCGGCGCCGAAAACUUCGGCAACUGGGUGCCGACGUUUUGCCCACAGGGUACGGCAAAUGAUUUCGUCGUAAACCCCAUUAUCUCGUGAAAAUCAGUGGUGGCCGAUUUCUCUCGCCCUGAUGACUUCAUCGGGAACUUCUGGAGGACAGGGUCGACAACGGACAGAACAACCUGAUCAACUGGGGUACGGAGAAGUGCCUCGUCAAUCGUCAGGUGGACCCAGACGCAGCUGGUCUGGCCAAACUGCAGGAAUUUAAUCCGCAUUGGGAGACAUGAAAAUUAGCCAAACCAACCUGAUCGCUGUCAGCACCAAGUUUUGCACCAUGAUUCCCCCACAGUGCUGGACUGAAAUGCAACUUAGUAUCCCCGUUCAGGGUGGUGCCCUAUUAAUCUAGAAAAACCUUUUGACUGCCACGCAAGAAGAUUGAUUUUUUUAAUAAUAGUGCUGGUCUGAGUAGAUUUAUCAGUUGUAUGCUGCGUAUUUUCCUUCUGUCAUGUUUUUGGGAUGUACAGGAUAUAAGCUUGGCAUGAAAGUAGUAUCACAACCGCACAAUAUUUGGUCUAUAAAAAACUUGUAUAUAAAGAAUAAAAUACGGUCAAAUGAUUU